CUCUUAUUGAGAGUGGCGGAGGGACUGGCCCGAUGAAGCCCGGCAACCUUUCUAGAACUCGUUCUAAAAAAGGUGCUAAAUCCUGCAAAGUGCAUAAUGUGCUUUGGAAAAUAAGAG
This 117-nucleotide non-coding RNA is filed under the name Oceanobacillus oncorhynchi. RNAcentral's name for it is "SAM-I sequence". It matches the Rfam family "SAM riboswitch aptamer (S box leader)". From Rfam's summary of the family: The SAM riboswitch is found upstream of a number of genes which code for proteins involved in methionine or cysteine biosynthesis in Gram-positive bacteria. The SAM riboswitch acts at the level of transcription termination control. The record is from Rfam by way of RNAcentral. Lineage: Bacteria; Bacillati; Bacillota; Bacilli; Caryophanales; Bacillaceae.